RNAcentral lists this ribosomal RNA (250 nucleotides) under uncultured prokaryote. Its description in RNAcentral is "partial 16S ribosomal RNA". It matches the Rfam family "Bacterial small subunit ribosomal RNA", at positions 548 to 775 of the family's 1533-position model. The record is from RNAcentral.
ACUUCUUUUUCCCUCUUUCUCCUGAAUCACUUUUCGUAAAGGGUGCGUAGGCGGUCGACAAAGUCUGGGGUGAAAGGCUACGGCUCAACCGUAGUAAGCCUUGGAAACUUGUUGACUUGAGUGCAGGAGAGGUAAGUGGAAUUCCUAGUGUAGCGGUGAAAUGCGUAGAUAUUAGGAGGAACACCAGUGGCGAAGGCGACUUACUGGACUGUAACUGACGCUGAGGCACGAAAGCGUGGGGAGCAAACAG